This is a long non-coding RNA of Chinchilla lanigera (long-tailed chinchilla), 749 nucleotides long. RefSeq lists it as uncharacterized. The transcript has 4 exons. The record is from RefSeq and is a predicted model, not a curated record. NCBI's taxonomy places the organism in Eukaryota, Metazoa, Chordata, Mammalia, Rodentia, Chinchillidae.
CUGGUUACCAGUAGCCCAGAAGGAUGGGGAGGAGGAUGGGGCAUGAUCAGGGGAGACUCAGGGAUCCCAACUGUGUGUCAGGAGAGACUCUCGGUAUAGGAAAUGAACAACAUAAACCGUGAGCGCGGCAGACGCACCUUCGCUUCAGCAGAGAUUGUGCUCCCGCGGAACAAGGGCUGCACACAGGUAUGUUCUAGAAGAAUUUUCCAUCAUGUAAAAAAAGCAUGACAUUAAGGAUAUGAUGUGUAUCAAUCUACAUGGUAAUAAAUUGUGCAGGAAGACUCUGACAGAGACAGUCAAUGUAAAAAACUAAAAGAUUGAUACAGAAGAUUGCCUAUUAUUACUAAUGUUUCCAGAGCGGCAUAGACUACUGUUGGUUUUCGACCAUCUUCUAUAGAUUUGAAGUCUCCCUGUCAGCCAUGAAAUCAAAGACAUGACCAUGUUGUCACCCUCGCUUUGGUGCUUCCCAUGUUAUUAACUGUUGUAAAACCAAUACAGCCCCAGGCCAGCUAUCUGCAGUUCCAGGAAGCUAUCACACUUGCUGGGAACACUAGAAGAGCAUGCGACUUUUGUGUUAGAUAACGGAGUUAUUACUUUGGACAUUUUAACCUCAUCUUCAAUAAUUACUAUAUAUAUAGAAGGAAUACAAAAGCAGUGAUGUACUGUUAGUAAUUAUUCAGACUUCUGGGCACCUGGUAUGGAAUAUCCCCCUUUUUGACUGCUCAUAUCCUUAUAUAAAACUUAAUAAC